Molecule: ribosomal RNA, 1187 nt
Filed under: Francisella endosymbiont of Dermacentor variabilis
Lineage: Bacteria; Pseudomonadati; Pseudomonadota; Gammaproteobacteria; Thiotrichales; Francisellaceae
Description: bacterial SSU rRNA
Rfam family: Bacterial small subunit ribosomal RNA
Source: RNAcentral
GCAAGUCGAACGGUACAGGACUAGCUUGCUAGUUGCUGACGAGUGGCGGACGGGUGAGUAACGCGUAGGAAUCUACCCAUCUGAGGGGGAUACCAGUUGGAAACGACUGUUAAUACCGCAUAGUAUCUGUGGAUUAAAGGUGGCUUUUGGGCUGUCGCAGAUGGAUGAGCCUGCGUUGGAUUAGCUAGUUGGUGGGGUAAGGGCCUACCAAGGCUACGAUCCAUAGCUGAUUUGAGAGGAUGAUCAGCCACAUUGGGACUGAGACACGGCCCAAACUCCUACGGGAGGCAGCAGUGAGGAAUAUUGGACAAUGGGGGCAACCCUGAUCCAGCAAUGCCAUGUGUGUGAAGAAGGCCUUAGGGUUGUAAAGCACUUUAGUUGGGGAAGAAAGCUUUGAGGUUAAUAGCCUUGAGGAAAAGGACGUUACCCAAAGAAUAAGCACCGGCUAACUCCGUGCCAGCAGCCGCGGUAAUACGGGGGGUGCAAGCGUUAAUCGGAAUUACUGGGCGUAAAGGGUCUGUAGGUGGUUUGUUAAGUCAGAUGUGAAAGCCUAGGGCUCAACCUUGGAACUGCAUUUGAUACUGGUAAACUAGAGUACGGUAGAGGAAUGGGGAAUUUCUGGUGUAGCGGUGAAAUGCGUAGAGAUCAGAAGGAACACCAAUGGCGAAGGCAACAUUCUGGACCGAUACUGACACUGAGGGACGAAAGCGUGGGGAUCAAACAGGAUUAGAUACCCUGGUAGUCCACGCUGUAAACGAUGAGUACUAGCUGUUGGAGUCGGUGUAAAGGCUCUAGUGGCGCAGCUAACGCGAUAAGUACUCCGCCUGGGGACUACGGCCGCAAGGCUAAAACUCAAAGGAAUUGACGGGGACCCGCACAAGCGGUGGAGCAUGUGGUUUAAUUCGAUGCAACGCGAAGAACCUUACCUGGUCUUGACAUCCUGCGAUCUUUCUAGAGAUAGAUUGGUGCCUUCGGGAACGCAGUGACAGGUGCUGCACGGCUGUCGUCAGCUCGUGUUGUGAAAUGUUGGGUUAAGUCCCGCAACGAGCGCAACCCCUAUUGAUAGUUACCAUCAUUAAGUUGGGUACUCUAUUGAGACUGCCGCUGACAAGGCGGAGGAAGGUGGGGACGACGUCAAGUCAUCAUGGCCUUUACGACCAGGGCUACACACGUGCUACAAUGGGUAU